Molecule: ribosomal RNA, 644 nt
Filed under: uncultured Actinomycetes bacterium
Lineage: Bacteria; Bacillati; Actinomycetota; Actinomycetes
Description: bacterial SSU rRNA
Rfam family: Bacterial small subunit ribosomal RNA
Source: RNAcentral
CGCGGCCUAUCAGCUUGUUGGUGAGGUAACGGCCCACCAAGGCGACGACGGGUAGCCGGCCUGAGAGGGUGACCGGCCACACUGGGACUGAGACACGGCCCAGACUCCUACGGGAGGCAGCAGUGGGGAAUAUUGCACAAUGGGCGCAAGCCUGAUGCAGCAACGCCGCGUGAGGGACGACGGCCUUCGGGUUGUAAACCUCUUUUAGCAGGGAAGAAGCGAAAGUGACGGUACCUGCAGAAAAAGCACCGGCUAACUACGUGCCAGCAGCCGCGGUAAUACGUAGGGUGCAAGCGUUGUCCGGAAUUAUUGGGCGUAAAGAGCUCGUAGGCGGUUCAGUUAGUCGGGUGUGAAAACUCAGGGCUCAACUCUGAGACGCCACUCGAUACUGCCAUGACUAGAGUCCGGUAGGGGAGUGCGGAAUUCCUGGUGUAGCGGUGGAAUGCGCAGAUAUCAGGAGGAACACCGAUGGCGAAGGCAGUUCUCUGGGCCGUUACUGACGCUGAGGAGCGAAAGCGUGGGGAGCGAACAGGAUUAGAUACCCUGGUAGUCCACGCCGUAAACGGUGGAUGCUAGCUGUGGGCCACAUUCCACGUGGUCCGUGACGAAGUUAACACAUUAAGCACCCCGCCUGGGGAGUACGG